UUUUGGACAAUGGGCGCAAGCCUGAUCCAGCAAUGCCGCGUGCAGGAAGAAGGCCUUCGGGUUGUAAACUGCUUUUGUACGGAACGAAACGGUCCUGGUUAAUACCUGGGGCUAAUGACGGUACCGUAAGAAUAAGCACCGGCUAACUACGUGCCAGCAGCCGCGGUAAUACGUAGGGUGCAAGCGUUAAUCGGAAUUACUGGGCGUAAAGCGUGCGCAGGCGGUUUUGUAAGACAGGCGUGAAAUCCCCGGGCUUAACCUGGGAAUGGCGCUUGUGACUGCAAAGCUGGAGUGCGGCAGAGGGGGAUGGAAUUCCGCGUGUAGCAGUGAAAUGCGUAGAUAUGCGGAGGAACACCGAUGGCGAAGGCAAUCCCCUGGGCCUGCACUGACGCUCAUGCACGAAA
Molecule: ribosomal RNA, 404 nt
Filed under: uncultured bacterium
Lineage: Bacteria
Description: bacterial SSU rRNA
Rfam family: Bacterial small subunit ribosomal RNA
Source: RNAcentral